RNAcentral lists this ribosomal RNA (498 nucleotides) under uncultured euryarchaeote. RNAcentral describes it as "partial 16S ribosomal RNA". It matches the Rfam family "Archaeal small subunit ribosomal RNA", at positions 343 to 836 of the family's 1478-position model. Lineage: Archaea; Methanobacteriati; Methanobacteriota. The record is from RNAcentral.
CAUAUAUCACAAUCGCACGGAAAGCGUGGAUAACGGGAACUCCAAGGCGCUCAGCGUUUAGAAAAGGGCUUUUGCAAGGGUAAAUAGCUUGGAGAAGAAGGGGGGGGGAAAAAUGGGGCCAGGAGCCCGGGUAAACCCAGCGCGACGGGGGGGGGUCAGUUUUAUUUGGGUUAACAGGUCCGUAGGUGGCUAGAUAAGUCCUUUGGGAAAUCAUCUGGUUUAACCUGACGGGGUGGGGGGGAUACUGUUUAGCUUGGGACCGGGGGGAGUUAAAGUUAUUUAAGGGGGAGGGGGAAAAUGCUUUAAUCCCUGGAGGACCCCCUGGUGGGAAGGGGUCUUUCUAGAAGCGUUCUGAAAGUGAGGGACGAAAGCCUGGGGAGCGAUCCGGAUUAAAUUCCCGGGGAGGCCUGGCCGUAAACCCUGGGGGCAAGGGGUUGCAGAUUUUUCCGGAUUGCCCGGGGGCGAAACGGAGGGGUUAAAAAUCAUUCCCUGGGAAGU